UACGUAGGCAGCGAGCGUUGUUCGGAAUUACUGGGCGUAAAGAGUGUGUAGGCGGCCAUACAGGUCAGCUGUGAAAACUCGAGGCUCAACCUCGAGACGUCGGUUGAAACCGUAUGGCUAGAGUCCGGAAGAGGAGAGUGGAAUUCCCGGUGUAGCGGUGAAAUGCGCAGAUAUCGGGAAGAACACCCGUGGCGAAGGCGGCUCUCUGGGACGGUACUGACGCUGAGACGCGAAAGCGUGGGGAGCGAACAGG
RNAcentral lists this ribosomal RNA (253 nucleotides) under uncultured bacterium. RNAcentral's name for it is "partial 16S ribosomal RNA". It matches the Rfam family "Bacterial small subunit ribosomal RNA", at positions 524 to 776 of the family's 1533-position model. The record is from RNAcentral.